ACGGCUCAGUAACACGUGGACAACCUACCCUCAGAUCUGGGAUAACUCCGGGAAACUGGAGAUAAUACCGGAUAAUCCGUGAACGCUGGAAUGCCUUACGGUUCAAAGCUUUAGCGUCUGAGGAUGGGUCUGCGGCCGAUUAGGUAGUUGCUGGGGUAACGUCCCAACAAGCCGAUAAUCGGUACGGGUUGUGAGAGCAAGAGCCCGGAGAUGGAUUCUGAGACACGAAUCCAGGUCCUACGGGGCGCAGCAGGCGCGAAAACUUUACACUGCGCGAAAGCGCGAUAAGGGGACCUCGAGUGCGUGCGCAAUGCGUACGCUUUUCAUAUGCCUAAAAAGCAUGUGGAAUAAGGGCCGGGCAAGACCGGUGCCAGCCGCCGCGGUAACACCGGCGGCUCGAGUGGUGGCCGCUAUUAUUGGGCUUAAAGGGUCCGUAGCCGGACCAGUUAGUCCCUUGGGAAAUCUUACGGCUUAACCGUAAGGCUGCCAAUGGAUACUGCUGGUCUUGGGACCGGGAGAGGCAAGAGGUACCUCAGGGGUAGGAGUGAAAUCCUGUAAUCCUUGAGGGACCGCCAGUGGCGAAGGCGUCUUGCUAGAACGGGUCCGACGGUGAGGGACGAAAGCUAGGGGCACGAACCGGAUUAGAUACCCGGGUAGUCCUAGCCGUAAACGAUGCGAGCUAGGUGUCACGUGGAUUGCGAAUCCAUGUGGUGCCGUAGGGAAACCGUGAAGCUCGCCGCCUGGGAAGUACGGCCGCAAGGCUGAAACUUAAAGGAAUUGGCGGGGGAGCAC
This 792-nucleotide ribosomal RNA is filed under the name uncultured archaeon. RNAcentral describes it as "bacterial SSU rRNA". It matches the Rfam family "Archaeal small subunit ribosomal RNA", at positions 85 to 879 of the family's 1478-position model. The record is from RNAcentral.